GAAUUGCGAUACGUAUUAUGACUUGCAGACGUGAAUCAUCAAUCUUUGAACGCACAUUGCAUCGGGGGGUAUUCCCCCCGAUAUACCAUGUUGAGCAUAUUAUUUCUCCUUCGGGGCCUUACUUUCCAAAAUCUAAUCAACUACGUUAUUAGAAAGCCUAAUCUUCUCAGCAUGGCAGGACUACCCGCUGAACUUAA
This 197-nucleotide unclassified non-coding RNA is filed under the name uncultured fungus. RNAcentral describes it as "sequence contains ITS1". The stretch from base 1 to 100 matches the Rfam family "5.8S ribosomal RNA", at positions 50 to 154 of the family's 154-position model. Rfam says of the family: 5.8S ribosomal RNA (5.8S rRNA) is a component of the large subunit of the eukaryotic ribosome. It is transcribed by RNA polymerase I as part of the 45S precursor that also contains 18S and 28S rRNA. Lineage: Eukaryota; Fungi. The record is from RNAcentral.